This is a long non-coding RNA of Ictalurus punctatus (channel catfish), 3329 nucleotides long. Lineage: Eukaryota; Metazoa; Chordata; Actinopteri; Siluriformes; Ictaluridae. The record is from Ensembl.
AAAAAACCCUCUUAAACAGGUCAGCACAUGACAUUAUGUAACCGUACGAAAUAGUUUUUUAUUGGUCAGCAAGAAGUGAGAUGGAAAUGACCGUUAUGACAAGGAAAAUUGAAAAUUAAUUAAAGAAAUUGUGAAAGUAUUAAAUGAAUAGUAAAUGUAGGAGUGUAAAAUUAGGAGUGUAAAUGUAAAACUGCACCCCUGAUAGUUUCUGUAGUCUGUGAAUACUGGUUCUGACACAUUUAGUUGAUUCUGUUUCCCAAAAUAUAAUGUAACUAGUAGCCCAAUUUAAAUUCAGUUUAAUUCAGUUUUAUUUGUACUGUGAUUUUAAUGGAGAUUUGCAUGAAUUUAUAAAUUCAGCAUAGAAAUUUUACAUUUAUUAAUUUAUUCCUAAUGAACAAGCCAGAUCUGACGGUUACAAGGAAAAUUCAUUGAGAUGAUAUGAUUAAGAAACCUUGAGAAGAACCAGACUCAAAUGGGAACCCAUCUUCAUCUGGGUGACAACAAAUUAUAAAUAAUUAUAACAUAAUCAUAAAUAAUUCCCUUCUAUAACUGUGUACUACACGGUCAGAAAGUGCAUUUGUGUAACCAGGAAAUUCAUUACGGUUUUCACAUGAAGUCUAUUUUGUGAAGUCAACAACUGUUCACUGAUGGAGGCUUGACUGCAAAACAAUUUUGUGGCAAUUGAAAUCCUAAAGCUAUUAUGCAGCAACUGUAGUCCUAAGUCACUGUCGCAAAACUGUUCAAAUCAAUUUCAGUCCGAAGCCAUCUUCAAGGUUUUAAAGUGGUACCAUCCCAAGUAAUCUCACUGAUUUUUAAAUGACUGCAACCCUGAACAAGAUCGUUUGUAAAUUCAUGUUAAUGAACAUGGUCUUUGUCUUGUGAUCUUCGUAUCUGUUAAAAAACACGGAUCAGAACACACUUCAAAUCACAACCAGAUGUGAACCUUUCUGAUAAGCUUUAAAAAAAAAAUCAAUAGUGCACUUCCUAUUCAAAUCUGGUUGUAUAUCCAUUUAGAACACAUUAUUAUGUUCAAUCUGAAUAAUGUGCUCAUAUUCGACGACAUUUCUCAUGAAGUAUGUCCAGAAUGUCCAGAAUGGAUAGAAUGAACAAUAAUGUAACCAACAAAAAGUGAAAAACACAACUAAGUAGUGCUGUCUAAACAGCAAAGAACUGGCAUAAAAAGUAUACAGCGGUAUUAAUUCUGGUUCUGGUAAAUAGAAACAGAUGGAGGGGAUAAUCAUCAGGUAGUAUAAGCCAAACAAGAGCUGACAAACAAUCCUCAACAUUGUGAGGGCAAAUAUGGCAGAACUUUCUUGACAAUUUGCUGUUUGGGCGAGUUGGGCAUGGGUUGCAUCAUUCCCAAGUUAUCACUAUAAUGGGCACUGUUGUGGAAGUUUUUUUAAGGAACCCAUAAAUUUAGAUGCAUGAAAUAUACAAUUCUAUGAUGCUAUACAUAACUUGACCUUAAUGAGGAAAAUAUUAUAUUACACGGACUAUGUUUGGGUAAUUUAACCCACAAAUAAAGCAAAUUACUGAAAGAUUGAGACAACAAAGAGAAAAAAAGAAAAAAAAAAUAUUAGGAAAAAAAAUUGAUAAAUAAAACUCAGCACAUAUUAUUAGGAGCAUUAGGGCAUGAGAAGGGGUUUUUACUGUUUUCCAAAAACAUAGAUGUAUCAGUCUCAGCUGCCCAAAAUCAAUAUGACCCAUGAACAGUACACUGCUAAGUAGCAACUGGGAACUUUGAUCAGGCAUUGACUUUUCAGUCUACUCCAUACAGCGCUGAUGAAAAUGUCUUUUUUUUUUUCUCUGAUAAUCAUGCCCUGUGUGUACUGGUGGAAAUAGAAAGAAAAAAAACAGCAUCUCUUUCAAACCUAGACAUACUGGUACCUUAAAACAUACAGUGCACUCAUUGAAUUCAUAAUGUCAGCAGAGCAACAAGAUAUCCUGUUUAGCCUGUUCCAGGGAGUCUGAGCUCUUAACUCCCGAGUGUGAAAAUUGUCUUUUUGGCAUCUUCAAGCCCCAAUCAGGAGUCACUACAGCUUCUGUGCUGAGUUUAGAUACUCCAACAACAGGUUCUUUCAAUAUGAGUAUGAUGCUAAUGGCAGUUGGAAAGACAUAGUGUAGCCGUAUGUGAUUUUGUUGUUGUUGUUUUUGUUGUUGUUCAGACCUAUAUUAAGGCCUUCAUCAAGUAUUAUAUACAAAUGGAAAAAUUAAAGGAAAAACACUGGCUGUGUCAUGCUGUGUGAGGCGUUUUGCUGGAGUAGACUGGGUCCACUUGGCCUCUUAGAGGGAUAGAUCAUUCCGAAUCCAUACAAAGUUAUAUCCUUUCAGUACCAGUCCAGAAACUUGUGCAGACUACAGUAUGCCAUUAAUGCAUCUUGCUAAGGCACUUUAUUUUGGUUUUGAAAAUUUUGUCACUUUGUACACUACCCAAAAAUUGGUGUCACAGUCAAUCUAUGAUCGCAAGAUGAUAGAGUAAUCAAUGAACUAUCCAUUUCUUCUGCAUAAUAACAUUAUAAUAACAAGUUAGCCCAAUAUCUGUUGUUUCACAGGUCAAGUUGAAUUUGGUCCCACUAGUGGUACAACCAGACUGAUAGUACCAUCACAUUUGCUUUUUUCUUUUUUUUUUUCUUUUUUGCAUAAUCAUCUCAUUUACACAAUUACAUGUGAAAAGCAUGUUAUUAUUUUUUUCAAAUGGGGUUAAGUGAAAUAAUAUUUACAGGCUCCAAAAAAAAUUUUUAAAUUGAGAGGUGACAUCAUGCCUCAAUGUUUCUGCAGUUUCUAACUGUGAACAGUGUAGUCUGAAGAAUUAAGCUCAGGUAAAGAGCCAUUAGAGUGAAACUAAACACCCUCACCAGUUUCUACGUCAUGCUUGCUCAGCUUCAGCCAUAAAGGGCAGGAGUCCAGCACAGUUUAGUGAUUCGACACUUGAUUCAUCCUGAUUCCAAACUGAGCUAGAUUCCAAUCCAUCAUAAUCCCAGUGUAGUUGGAUACUAUUGGUCUAUAAAAUGUGACUGCUUCUUCUGAUAUAGUACACCAAAAGGGCCAUUUGUAUUUGUGUGUGUGUGUGGGGGGGGGGGGGUAGCUAGUUUUCAGGCAUUCAUUGUGUUGGACUCUGAAGUACACAUGAGCCUGACCAAAAUACCGCCUACUCUGCACUCAAAGAUUAACAUAUAUGAAGUACACAGGAGGGAGCUGGUAUCAAGUUUAUCAGUAAGUAUUAUGUGUGUGCGCAUGUGGGAGAGAGAGAAUUUAUGAGCAUGUGGGAGAACUUAAAAUACAUGUGUGUGUGUGUGUGUGUAUGUAUAUAUAUAUAUAUAUAUAUAUAU